GAUGAUCGAUUUCAGUGAAUCGACUGUGGAUUCCAUAAUUGAAAACAAAAAAGAGAAUAAGGCUCAGAUUGAUAAAUUCAUCAGGAUGUAGCCAUCAUCGUCGAUUGUUGCAUUGUCAUAAACUCUAACUUCAACAAAAUUGAAAAGAGAAGGCAUUCAUCAGAAAGAAAUGUCCAGUAAUCCAAAGACUGCAACCAUUGGUGCUCUCUACUGUGAAAUGAAAACGUGAAAAAAAAAUCAUUGAUUAAAUGAACAGAAAGGAAUCUGAAAACCAUAUAUAUGUAAGUACCAAACAACCGACGGAGUCUGUGGUAAAGGUGGUGUUACUGGAGAUUGCGGCAGAUGAAAUCGAAGAAGAAAUGCGGAAGCCGGCAGAUAGCAAGGAUGUUGGAAGUGAGAGGAGGCAAUGGAGGUCAGAACGCGAGCAAGGAAACAUACCUAGAGCAAGUAGAAAAUGGGCCAGUC
Molecule: long non-coding RNA, 465 nt
Filed under: Lactuca sativa (garden lettuce)
Lineage: Eukaryota; Viridiplantae; Streptophyta; Magnoliopsida; Asterales; Asteraceae
Description: long non-coding RNA (LSAT_LNC007253)
Source: RNAcentral